AUUGAACGCUGGCGGCAGGCCUAACACAUGCAAGUCGAACGAGUGGCGGACGGGUGAGUAAUGUCUGGGAAACUGCCCGAUGGAGGGGGAUAACUACUGGAACCGGUAGCUAAUACCGCAUACCAUCGGAUGUGCCCAGAUGGGAUUAGCUAGUACGUGGGGUAACGGCUCACCUAGGCGACGAUCCCUAGCUGGUCUGAGAGGGUGACCAGCCCCACUGGAACUGAGACACGGUCCAGACUCCUACGGGAGGCAGCGGGGGGGAAUAAUGCGCAAUGGGGGCAACCCUGACGCAGCAAUGCCGCGUGAAUGAAGAAGGCCUUCGGGUUGUAAAGUUCUUUCGGUAGCGAGGCGUUAACUACAGAAGAAGCACCGGCUAACUCCGUGCCAGCCGCCGCGGUAAUUC
Molecule: ribosomal RNA, 406 nt
Filed under: uncultured bacterium
Lineage: Bacteria
Description: partial 16S ribosomal RNA
Rfam family: Bacterial small subunit ribosomal RNA
Source: RNAcentral